CUCUGAGAUCGAUACCAGUCUGAAACCAGUCUGUAACCGGUCUGAUUCUCUUUAACUAGCCUGUAACCAGUCUGGUACCAGUCGACAGGCAGGUCAGGACUCCACCCUAGCUAAAAGAUGAUGCAUCAUUCAAACUCCUGAAGACGACACAUUAAUCGAUUGAAUGUGAUUUCAGUAAAAACCUCCUGCUGCAGCAUCUGACGGCUGAAGACGUGUCGGCUGCUGUUUGACCCAGUUCUUUGUCUCUGGGCUCCGCUUGGACUGUUUCAGCUGCUGCAGUGCAUUCUGGGACAUGAGCAUCAAGCCUCUUCUGGAGGUUUAGAACAGACGAAGCUUCCCUGCUCACACACGCUGCAUUCCUCAUCUCUCACAUACCUGAGCCAGUUCAGACGUGUGAACGUCAGGAGGCCGAGGACGUGUUAACACAGAGCCCACCUCCAGGAGCAGCCGGGUGGAGUCAGCCAGAACACGUACCCACCGGGAGGUAGAAAUACCACGGAGAUACAGGCAGCAAGUACAAAUAAUAUAUACCGUUACUACAGCUACUAGACAGCUGAUAUCAUAUACAGUAAACUAGAUACUGCAAGUAUUACUGCCUCCAGCAAGCUAAAGCAGAAAUACUAGUACAUUGAGUUCAACAAACAAGUUACUGCAUUUACAGGACAAAUGAUACAGAUACUGUAUCACUAUAGACCUGUGGAUUCUAGAGCAGCAUCUCCACUUUGAUGAGCUGCUGUGUGUGUUUGGGUUCUGGGUUGAGGUCUAACAAGCGCAGGCAGGUACAUGUCCUGCAGAGCUGAGACCUGUGGGGCGGCGGCUGACCUUUGACCCCGUGACACAGUUUGGCGAGGAAUGUGAGGCCUGCAGGAGCAUUGCUGACCUGCUGUUCACAUGUACAGCAGUGAAGUAUCUAAGGAUGUGAGAGCUUGAAGCCGCUGUCACUCUGUUUGCUCAUUUGUGGAUCCUCACUCAGGGAAACAAGCCUCAAUGACACAGCCCAGAACCAGAACCACCAGAACCAUGAGCCUGAGGGUCUGGACUAACUGCAGAUCAGAGGCUGAGGACCAUCAAUGCAAUGUAUCGAACUAUGUGUACAAGUACUGUGAAGUACUUCUACUUGUACUUUUAUUCUGUAAAACCAAACCCACUGCAGUACUGGUUCAACUGCAGGGUGUAUGGUUUCAGUGACCUUUGGACCUGCUGAGGCCUGAGCGGCUCUGGUUCUGCUCAGCUGAACAGACAGGUUCAACCACAUUGAGGGCCACAAAGUAACAGAACAAAUACGGACAUGUGGACUUUUGUCUGAUCUUUGGCUCCUAUUGACGACGUGACGAGUCAGAAGCUGAUCUCAGCUCCGGUUGGGGCAGAAGUGAAGCACAGCAGAGACGAGAGCAGAGGAAGAGCUGAAGGUCACACACUUCCUCGCCAGCGAUGAACGGCUUCUGAGUCAAGUCGAGAGAUGUAGAAGUGAUGGAGCAGAGGAAGUGGUGUCGCUGUGUGGGCCCCGCGCGACCUUAUAUGGCAACAGGCUGUUUCUCAUCAAGUAGAGUCUCACCACACUCGCAGCCUGUUCACUUCCUGCUCAGCAUCAGCUCCAGCGCCAGCGUCACACUCUGCUGGUUUACUGGGUCUGAGGCAAAGCAGGAACAAACAUUCCUGAAGAAUCAUCAGCUGUCACAUUACACAGCUGCUGCUCUGUUGCAUCACUCUGGCCCGAAUUUCAGUCCAGACCAUGUUAGUUCCUGUAAAUAAAUAAUUUCUCUGCAGUAAAGGUGCAGAAAGUGGAACCUGACAAUGCCAGAGGAAGAGGGGGAGUCAUCAAGCGUUGCACAUGAUCGAGGAAGUAGCAGAGGCCCAAGCAGAACAUAGACCUUCACUAAGGCCGGUGCACCAAGCACGUGUCCAUUAACUGGUCAGCAAGUUCUGGUGUGGAGGCUACACCAAUAAAAAGCAGCACAGAAGCUGCUUGAAGGUAAAGAGUAGAGCUGUGGGAGUGAAUGAGACGACACUGCUGAUUCUAACUACGACUAAAAGCCUCAUGUCUCUUACUGGAAGGAGUCAGAGCAGACGUCUCAGCCUUGCUGCUGGUGAUGUUGCUCCACUUGCUGGACAUAGAAAGAUGCAACAUGUGGAUCCCACACAUCUAAAGUUAAAUAUUAAGCUUUCCAACGCAACAUCAGGGUCAGUGAACUAAACAUUACUAUAAACGCAAAAAUAGCAGUGGGCCCAGAAUUUACUAACUGUUUUGUAUGAAGGUCACAAGCUUUUACUUUUUAUUCUGCAAAACAUUGAUAUUUUUGUUUGAGGAACUUUUAUUCAUGAACACAUCUCGACAACAUUACAAACUGAGGAAUAACUUUAUUUAUCCACCUUCAGAUCAGAAGCCGUAACCAUGGUAACUUGUCAAUUCCAUGAUGUUGAAUUAAAGUGUGAGGAUGUUCAA
Long non-coding RNA from Betta splendens (Siamese fighting fish), 2443 nucleotides. RefSeq lists it as uncharacterized. The transcript is spliced from 2 exons. NCBI's taxonomy places the organism in Eukaryota, Metazoa, Chordata, Actinopteri, Anabantiformes, Osphronemidae. The record is from RefSeq and is a predicted model, not a curated record.